This is a long non-coding RNA of Cebus imitator (Panamanian white-faced capuchin), 1670 nucleotides long. RefSeq lists it as uncharacterized. The record is from RefSeq and is a predicted model, not a curated record. NCBI's taxonomy places the organism in Eukaryota, Metazoa, Chordata, Mammalia, Primates, Cebidae. The transcript is spliced from 2 exons.
UCUUCUGAAAGGUAAUUGAAGUGUUCCCCGUAAAGCACUUAGAACAAUGCCUGGCACAAUCACCGUUCACUCAAGGGUGACUCUUUAUUACCACAGCAACCCCUGGCUUAAUUGACAUUAACCAAUGUGAGUGUCAGCUAUAUAGGUGGUAAUGAAAGGGAGUGAAAUAAACUGGCAAGGUCAGAAGUGGGGUAAGUUCAGUCAGUCUUCUGCUUAACACGUGGACUCUACCAAUGUUCAAGGGAUUGUGAUUUUCAGUAAUAUAAUUGUAAUUAGUCCUUGACUUUAUCAUUGAACCCAAUAUGUUGUUGUCCCCAUUCAUAUCAAAUGGUGGAGAAAAAUCUCUAAAGAGCCAUGGAAAAUACUGACAUAAAUGUGUAGUCACUAAUUAAAGGCAAAGGUAUUGAUUAAUGGUAUCAUGAACAUGUCUGAUAUAUAACUGGAUAUUUUACAUGUGGAAACAACACUCAGGUCUCUGCAGCAAUGUUUUCAUGCAGAAAGCUUGUAUUAAAGAUUUCCAGAGAUAUAAAACCAAUAGAUUAUUUAUCCAUCUAUCUAUAGAGAGUGAUUUAUUUUAAGAAAUUGAUUCAUGUGAUUAUGGAGGCUGGCAAGUCCUAAAUCUGCAGGAUGGGCUGGCAGCCUGGAGUCUCAGGAAGGCUAACUUGAUGCUUUUGCUUUUACACCUCUGAAUUGAUCACAUUGCCUUUCAGGAAAGAUCAAGCUAUGAAAAGGCUUGCUGUGAAGGGGAGGAUCACCUCAGACUGUCUACCCUAGCUAUCCAUGCCUUGAUGGUGCCAUCACUACAACAUGAGAGAGGAUGGCAGAGGACAGUGUUCAAGUAUUUGGGUUCUGGACUCAGACUGAAGUGGGUUUGAAUCCUUGCUUUUCCAUUUAUCAGCUGUGUUAUCACUGGACACAUUACUCAGUUACUCUGUGUGUUGUCUGCAAAAAAUUGAGGCUAAAAUGUCUACAUCAUAAAGGGUUAUUGGAAGGAGUCAAUGUGAUAUAAAGACCACGGAGGAAUCACAGUUUGACAUUCUCAUGGCCUUAACACUGAGACUCAGACAGCUUUAUAGAGAAAGAAUUUUUUUUUAAGUGCAGUACAGGAAAGGGGACUGUACCCAAGAGAUCCAGAAGGGCUGUGUGGACUAGCCACACAAAAUACAGCAAAAGUUGUCAGGGGCCAGUGUCUUAUCUAAUACAGGUUUAUUCAUUUAUGUGCUUAUUCAACAAAGAUAUGAGUGCUACUACACUCACAAAUUCUUGCAUGAUCUAGUUACCCUGGUAAGUGCAGAGUCGUACAUUUGGGCAUGUUUCAGAGUGAAAGCGAUGCUAUUUGGAAUUACUCAGGGACAACAGGUGAAAUCAGGACAUACAGUCACUAUACUGGGGAAAAUGUCUGGGAUUAGGAGAAAGAGUAAAUAGUCAACCUUUAAAGCUUUGUCUGUGCCCUCGCUCACUUCCACACUCAUUCUCCCUUACUCCAGAGUGACGGUGUAUGAUGAAAGAGGAAGUGCAUUCAAUUGGCUCAAGAAUCAGGACCAAUCACAGUUUGGAGAAAGCAUUGUACUGAAAUAAGUGUUUUUAUUGUCUCAACUUGCCAUAGUUUGUCAAUUUUGUGAGACGCAUGUGCUUGAAAGUGAAAAAGCCCUACAACAAUCACACUGAAA